RNAcentral lists this ribosomal RNA (1478 nucleotides) under uncultured Bordetella sp. RNAcentral describes it as "partial 16S-23S ribosomal RNA intergenic spacer". It matches the Rfam family "Bacterial small subunit ribosomal RNA". The record is from RNAcentral. Lineage: Bacteria; Pseudomonadati; Pseudomonadota; Betaproteobacteria; Burkholderiales; Alcaligenaceae.
AGUUCGAUCCUGGCUCAGAUUGAACGCUGGCGGUCUUUACACAUGCAAGUCGAACGGCAGCACGGACUUCGGUCUGGUGGCGAGUGGCGAACGGGUGAGUAAUGUAUCGGAACGUGCUAAGUAGCGGGGGAUAACUACGCGAAAGCGUAGCUAAUACCGCAUACGCCCUUCGGGGGAAAGCGGGGACCUUCCCGGGCCUCGCACUAUUAAACGGCCGAUAUCGGAUUAGCUAGUUGGUGGGGUAACGGCUCACCAAGGCGACGAUCCGUAGCUGGUUUGAGGACGACCAGCCACACUGGGACUGAGACACGGCCCAGACUCCUACCGGGAGGCAGCAGUGGGGAAUUUUGGACAGUGGAAACCUGAUCCAGCCAUCCCGCGUGUGCGAUGAAGGCCUUCGGGUUGUAAAGCACUUUUGGCAGGGGAAAGAAACGGCACGGGAUAAUACCCCCGUGCAACUGACAACACCUGCAGAAUAAGCACCGGCUAACUACGUGCCAGCAGCCGCGGUAAUACGUAGAGGGUGCAAGCGUUAAUCGGAAUUACUGGGCGUAAAGCGUGCGCAGGCGGUUCGGAAGAAGAUGUAGAAUCCCAGAGCUUAACUUUGGAACUGCAUUUUUAACUACCGAGCUAGAGUGUGUGUCAGGGAGGUGGAAUUCCGCGUGUAGCAGUGAAAUGCGUAGAUAUGCGGAGGAACACCGAUGGCGAAAGAGCAGCCUCCUGGGAUAACACUGACGCUCAUGCACGAAAGCGUGGGGAGCAAACAGGAUUAGAUACCCUGGUAGUCCCGCCCUAAACGAUGUCAACUAGCUGUUGGGGCCUUCGGGCCUUGGUAGCGCAACUAACGCGUGAAGUUGACCGCCGCAGAGUACGGUCGCAAGAUUAAAACUCAAAGGAAUUGACGGGGACCCGCACAAGCGGUGGAUGAUGUGGAUUAAUUCGAUGCAACGCGAAAAACCUUACCUACCCUUGACAUGUCUGGAAUCGAAGAGAUUUGGGAGUGCUCGCAAGAGAACCGGAACACAGGUGCUGCAUGGCUGUCGUCAGCUCGUGUCGUGAGAUGUUGGGUUAAGUCCCGCAACAGGCGCAACCCUUGUCAUUAGUUGCUACGAAAGGGCACUCUAAUGAGACUGCCGGUGACAAACCGGAGGAAGGUGGGGAUGACGUCAAGUCCUCAUGGCCCAUAUGGGUAGGGCUUCACGUCAUACAAUGGUCGGGACAGAGGGUCGCCAACCCGCGAGGGGGCCAAUCCCAGAAACCCGAUCGUAGUCCCGGAUCGCAGUCUGCAACUCGACUGCGUGAAGUCGGAAUCGCUAGUAAUCGCGGAUCAGCAUGUCGCGGUGAAUACGUUCCCGGGUCUUGUACACACCGCCCGUCACACCAUGGGAGUGGGUUUUACCAGAAGUAGUUAGCCUAACCGUAAGGAGGGCGAUUACCACGGUAGGAUUCAUGACUGGGGUGAAGUCGUAACAAGGUAG